GAGCUGCGUGCCGAACGUUGCCGACCCCUGGGCUAGUAGAAGAUCUAUCCAGGUGCGCCUAAAGAUAUACACUUAUUACUGUUUUAUAAGAAGAGCUCCUGCAGCUGGCUGCAGACACUCACAUCUUGUGUAUUUAAUUACCAACCAUACUAAGGUUCCCAAGCUACAACAUUGUACUGGAUGUUCUAUAUCUUAUAAGUCUCUGUUAAGAUGCAAUAACAUUGAGAUUAAAAAUAUUUUUAGGAACAAAUUCCCAUUAUAAGUUUCUAUUUAACUUUAUUCAUCUGCACCAUUUCAUCCCCAUUCCAGUGGUUUAGUGACUAGAAUUAAGAAACUUUAGGUAUUUACACCAAAUUUAACUGGGUUCUUAUGAUGCCCAUGGAAUCAGAUCAACUGCAAAGAACUUCCCCCACCCCUUUGAACGUUGCCAUUACAUACAAAUGAUUAGCAAUGGGAUGCAUAGCAUACGUCAAAGGGACAUAAAUCAAUUUGCCUGGCCACAUGUCCAAGGGGCAAAAUAGAAAUGUGUAAUUUGCACCUCAUUUAUUCUCCUUUGUAUGUGGAACUGAUUGAGGCUGUGAAUCACACAUAGUGAGCAGAGCUGGAUGAUGAAGGCAUAAAAUCUCUGUCUUCCAUGUCGAAAUCAUAAGAGAGAGUGUGCAUUAAAUAAAUAAUCAAAAAGGUACAAACUACUGCAGCCUUGUGUAUUGUUUGGCAGCAACAAAAUAUGAUAACAAAGAUAGUCACAUUUCAGAGUCAGAAGACUGUAAAUAUGGUGCCCUGGCAUGGAAGUAAAUGGUGUAAGUCCAUGAUAAAUGACAUACAUGUAGCUUUGAUUCAUGUAUAUAGCCACUUAUGUCUGGCAACUGACUAUGGGGGAGAGGGGGGGAAGGUAGUGUACAAUACCAGCAAACUUGUAUGCUUGCGAUUCCUUUCAUAAUUACUGAAUCAAUUUCAGCCAGCGCUGAUUCAGUUUUAGGCAAAAGACAGCUUUAAAAUGUAGCUUUGCCACAUGUGCUCUUCUUAAGAGAAAUAUUAUACAAAUCCCAGCAGGACAAAUCAAUAGGACUGAAUUCUGCCUAGGAAGAUUUUUCUAUUAUUUCUGGACAGACAAGUUCCCUAGUGAACAUGAAUGAUUCCUAGCAAGACCCAUUUAUUCUUCAAUUGAUGCAGGAAAAACACAGGAGUUUUAUUUCUGGCAGGACUAAUAUACAGUAGAAGCCAAGGCCUCUGAUCCUGGCACUGCAAACCUAUAGCACAUGAUUCCUGGCAAGAAAAGUAGGGACUUAAUUAUUGACAGCAUACACAUAGGAGUCUAUUAGGACAAACUCAUUUAAUUUCUGUCAGAACAAACAUAUUGGGUUGAAUUAUUAGCAGGACAAAUACAAAUGAAUCCAGGCAAGACAAAUAUAUGAUGUUACAUUCCUGGCAUGACACAUACGUGGGAGGGGAGCAUAUGGCCCCGUGUAAAAACGUAUGGAGGAGAACAAAAUCAAAAACCCAUGUUGGUUUUGAUGCAUGGCUCUGAGCCACAUUUAACCUCACAGGGCUGGCCAGGACAUAGUAAGGCAGAAGGUACACCCACAAAAAGGGUGAGGAGCCAAGGGGUUCUCCCUAGAGGAACCUUGGCCACAAACUUGUGGAUCCCCAGCCAGCUGUGCAGAUAGUCUGUCUCUUUUCCAUGUUCAUUCCAUUUCCCCUACCAUCCACAAAGCACAGGUCAGAUCCCCACUCUGUGGUCAGCUACAUUUUGCAACAUCUGACUACCUGGGAAGAAGACUACAACUCCCAUCAUCCAUCACGGCAAAUUUCAACCUCAACCAACUUUAUUUAAAUCACUGUUUAAAUUUAUUUUGUGACAACUCAAACCUGUCCAAGUGGCUGAUGAGAGUUACAUUCCUUCUGUGGAAACCAUUGGGCUGGGCAGCCAGACCAGUGCUACAUGACAAAACUUGACAAAACACAGGUAUUUAAUAAGUGGAUUAUGUAGAGCACACAAGCUUCAGACCUCAGUAAGAUAACUCGUACAAUAUAGUGAUUGAGAUCCAGGGCACACUAUACAAUGGUGAACAUGGUGUACUCUCAGUUACCUUUAGUACAUUUGAGAGAUUAGAAGGGUUAUGCUGGGGAAGAGCCAGUUUGAGGAGUAAUAUCUGCUUACUUCUGUUUCCUAGAGACAAUUACUUCUCAUUGCCAAAGGUUGGUGACAUAGUGAGCUGUGCAAAAAUCAUUAGUCAUAUUAUUGCAAUCAGAAAUGCUUUGCAAUAUACCACCACUUUACAAAAAGUGAGUAAAGGAAUUUUCAACCACCACCUGUUAUUAUUCAAAACUAAUCUAAAAUGUAAUCUCCUGAAACAGCUAUGAAGAGCUAAUCCCAAUAUAAAGCAGUAUGGCCUAGUAAUUAAACCCAGCAUCCUAGUUACCUAGGGUUACCAGAUAGCAACUGUGAAAAAACGGGACAGAGGGAGAGGGGGUAACAGGCGCCUAUAUAAGAAAAAGUCCCAAAAACGGGACUGUCCCUUUAAAAAUGGGACAUCUGGUAACCCUACUGUUACCUGUGUUUUAAACUGCUUUGCCAUAGAUAUGGGUGAUUUGACUUGUGUUCUGUUAGUUUAACUCUAGCAGCCUUACUUCCUCCACACACUGAAAUACACUGUAUCUCCAGUUAGCAAUAGAUAUAUAAGACUACAUGAAAUCCAAAGUUUACUCUACCUGAUGGGUGAUAAGUAUGCUCUCAGUUGACUAAGAUACACUUAUAAAAAUAAAAUGUGAAAGUUUCAUUAUGUUUGAAAAACUAACAAUGCUAUUUUUUUCCCAGGAUCUUAGCAGAAAUGUCCUGUUUCUGCAUAUUUGAACUGAAUUGCAGUCCAUCUGAGUCUGCCUGCCCAAAUUCUGUAACUCAAACAAACCCACCCUCUGCUACCUGGAGUAAGAAGAAAACAGUACAAUACAAUGAGUCAAAUUCUGAUUGUAGCAAGGUGGAGUGGCCUGCCUCCGAGGCUGACUGGGAGGAACCACUUCCCACCCACUGGUAGGUGGAACCAGGCAGGGUCCACGCCUCACGCUAGAAGCAGAGUGGCAGAACAGUAUGCAUCAGAGGUGGGGUCUCCAGCUCAGUUGGGCCAGAGGCAGGGAAGGAGCUGGAUGUCUCUGCCUUGCUGAUGGCCCUGCACCAGGGACUGAUUUGUGCCUAUCCCAGGAGUUGGACCCUGAGGGAGGGAUGCAGCUGAGACUGCUAUUUGCCAAGUACCCCGAGGAGCUGCUGGGAUUGCUGACUGCUGAGUAUCCCAAGGAGACUGAGGACUCCCCGAGCAACAGAGCCUUACAAGCAGAAUCACCUGGGGACUUCUUGCUGCAAGGCAAUACAGUCUGCAAGUCUCUGGCUACCUAUGCACCUUCUGAACUGACUGGACACUUAAUAAGGAUCAGCACCUCUUAUUCCUCCUACUCACUGCCACUGCUGCUCCAAGCUUGCUCAGUACUAUUCACAGUCAGCUUUAUUCAUGCAUUUCUUGAACAGCUAGAGAAAGAAAACCUGAACUAAUGCCACCUUACUUGAAGCCAAGUAAAAACCACUAACAAUUUUAACAGAUUUGUACACUAAUGAGUUCUGAAGGGUGGCAUUCUGUGUGUUCUGUUCUUUGAGCAUUUUGUGUACAAAGAAAUCUUGCAUUAUACACUACAAAAGGCAAGUUUGACAGGAAUGAGCCAAAUCGGUAAAGAGCUCUGGCAAGAAUACAGCUGUUUCUAAUAUAUGGCAUCCUGAGAGAAUUUUGAUGACAUCUGCUAUCAAGGCAAGAAAAAUUUAGAAAUGCCUUUAAAGAAUCAAAUCCAUAUUGUCAUUCAACUUUUUAAAUACAUCAUGGUCACUUCAUCGACAGAAGUGUAGCCUCCAUGUAACUAUAUAGGUCUCUUACAACAAUGCCUUUCAUCUUCUCCCCAGAAGGCAAUCGGGGUUUCUUUUAUCACAAAUCUCCCUGAAGGGAAGCAGUCAGAAUUCACAGCCUUUUUACAGAUGAGCUCUACCUUAGGGAAGGAGGUUGGGGGAAAACAUAUGGAUACUGCUAUUCUCAAAGCAGUACCGAACUAUACCUCCACAAUGUAAGGGAAGCUCCAUUAAUACAGUUUCUCACCACCACCAGCAGCAAAGGCCUGUGAGAGGCAAUAUUUACAGGAUACUUUUACACAGGCAGAUUGUGUUUUUUAAUUAAAACUAAUUCAAAAUAAAGUCACAUGGAUUACACAAUUGAUAAAUUCUGUCUGCAUGAUGCUUUAAAUCACAGUAGUCGUCACACAGUUCAUUUAGACUGAAUAAUACAUUUGUUGUAUUGUUAAAUAGAAAUUGAGUACUGAAACAUUUAUUGAAGAUUAACAACCAUGUAAUACCAGGUAUUAAAU
Long non-coding RNA from Trachemys scripta elegans, 4398 nucleotides. RefSeq lists it as uncharacterized. The record is from RefSeq and is a predicted model, not a curated record. NCBI's taxonomy places the organism in Eukaryota, Metazoa, Chordata, Testudines, Emydidae. The transcript is spliced from 3 exons.